Molecule: ribosomal RNA, 301 nt
Filed under: uncultured bacterium
Lineage: Bacteria
Description: partial 16S ribosomal RNA
Rfam family: Bacterial small subunit ribosomal RNA
Source: RNAcentral
CAGUCGCCGCGGGAAUACGUAGGGUGCGAGCGUUAAUCGGAAUUACUGGGCGUAAAGCGUGCGCAGGCGGUUAUAUAAGACAGAUGUGAAAUCCCCGGGCUCAACCUGGGACCUGCAUUUGUGACUGUAUAGCUAGGGUACGGUAGAGGGGGAUGGAAUUCCGCGUGUAGCAGUGAAAUGCGUAGAUAUGCGGAGGAACACCGAUGGCGAAGGCAAUCCCCUGGACCUGUACUGACGCUCAUGCACGAAAGCGUGGGGAGCAAACAGGAUUAGAUACCCGUGUAGUCCCUGUCUCUUAUAA